GCUCUAGUGGCGCAAUCGGUCAGCGCGCGGUACUUAUAAGACAGUAAACUGCGGAGUAAUGCCGAGGUUGUGAGUUCGAUCCUCACCUGGAGCA
Molecule: transfer RNA, 94 nt
Filed under: Perca flavescens (yellow perch)
Lineage: Eukaryota; Metazoa; Chordata; Actinopteri; Perciformes; Percidae
Rfam family: tRNA
About the family: Transfer RNA (tRNA) molecules are approximately 80 nucleotides in length. Their secondary structure includes four short double-helical elements and three loops (D, anti-codon, and T loops).
Source: Rfam by way of RNAcentral